CUACGUGCCAGCAGCCGCGGUAAUACGUAGGUGGCAAGCGUUGUCCGGAAUUAUUGGGCGUAAAGCGCGCGCAGGCGGAUUGGUCAGUCUGUCUUAAAAGUUCAGGGCUUAACCCCGUGAUGGGAUGGAAACUGCCAAUCUAGAGUAUCGGAGAGGAAAGUGGAAUUCCUAGUGUAGCGGUGAAAUGCGUAGAUAUUAGGAAGAACACCAGUGGCGAAGGCGACUUUCUGGACGAAAACUGACGCUGAGGCGCGAAAGCCAGGGGAGCGAACGGGAUUAGAUACCCCGGUAGUCCUGGCCGUAAACGAUGGGUACUAGGUGUAGGAGGUAUCGACCCCUUCUGUGCCGGAGUUAACGCAAUAAGUACCCCGCCUGGGGAGUACGACCGCAAGGUUGAAACUCAAAGGAAUUGACGGGGGCCCGCACAAGCGGUGGAGUAUGUGGUUUAAUUCGACGCAACGCGAAGAACCUUACCAGGUCUUGACAUUGAUGGACAGAACUAGAGAUAG
Molecule: ribosomal RNA, 509 nt
Filed under: uncultured bacterium
Lineage: Bacteria
Description: bacterial SSU rRNA
Rfam family: Bacterial small subunit ribosomal RNA
Source: RNAcentral